RNAcentral lists this long non-coding RNA (452 nucleotides) under Medicago truncatula (barrel medic). RNAcentral describes it as "lncRNA gene24470". Lineage: Eukaryota; Viridiplantae; Streptophyta; Magnoliopsida; Fabales; Fabaceae. The record is from RNAcentral.
AUGUCAAGAGAAAUACACAAAGAAGUAGCUACUAGCUACACAUUAAAAAGUUGUUGCUUCAAAUGUACUCACAUACUACACAAGCAUUAAAAACGACAAGAAAGGUCGACGGAUUAUAGUUUUGCCUAGUGAGUGUUCAGGCUCUCUUCAUCAGUACAACCAUUAUCACCAUAACUGCCAAUCCCAUGAAACUAGUUCCCAUUACAUUUUUAUAAUCCAUGAAACUGCCUCCAUCAGCAUCAGCUGAAGAUUUGUCUUUCUCAACUGUUGGGAAUAUGUUCUGAAAGAAAUUGGACAUUCUACUUACCAUUUCAGUAACUGUCAGCUUCAAAUUCUGCAGAAUACCCAUAAAAUCAAAAACAUUUCCUGACUGAGACUCAGGCUUUUCCUCUUUUUCAGGAGUUUCUGCAAAUCCAGAACCAGCAAAAGCAGCACCAUUUGUUGAAUCUGCA